AGCAGCCGCGGUAAUUCCAGCUCCAAUAGCGUAUAUUAAAGUUGUUGCAGUUAAAAAGCUCGUAGUUGAAUUUCGGGAUCAGAUUGUCGGUCGUGCCUCGGUACGCACUGGCAUUAUUGGUUCCUACCUUCUGAAGAACCGCGAUGUCAUUAAUUUGGUGUCGUGGGGAAUCAGGACUGUUACUUUGAAAAAUUAGAGUGUUUAAAGCAGGCGCACGCUUGAAUACAUUAGCAUGGAAUAAUGAAAUAGGACGUUUGAUUCUAUUUUGUUGGUUUCUAGGAUCGACGUAAUGAUUAAUAGGGAUAGUUGGGGGCAUUAGUAUUCAAUUGUCAGAGGUGAAAUUCUUGGAUUUUAUUGAAGACUAACUACUGCGAAAGCAUUUGCCAAGGAUGUUUUCAUUAAUCAAGAACGAAAGUUAGGGGAUCGAAGACGAUCAGAUACCGUCGUAGUCUUAACCAUAAACUAUGCCGACUGGGGAUCGGAUGAUGUUAAUUUUUAAUGACUCAU
Molecule: ribosomal RNA, 507 nt
Filed under: uncultured Glomus
Lineage: Eukaryota; Fungi; Glomeromycota; Glomeromycetes; Glomerales; Glomeraceae
Description: SSU rRNA
Rfam family: Eukaryotic small subunit ribosomal RNA
Source: RNAcentral